Molecule: non-coding RNA, 84 nt
Organism: Bombyx mori (domestic silkworm)
Lineage: Eukaryota; Metazoa; Arthropoda; Insecta; Lepidoptera; Bombycidae
Source: Rfam
UUAACUCAAAUUUGUAUAGAGUCGGAACGAUUGCCUACAUUUGCCGCUAGGGGCGCUGUUCCAACUGCAUACAGAUUUGAGUUA